AGUUUCUUCUCUCUAAAUAUUCAUGUUAUCUUUCAGAGUUCCAAGCGGCUAAGAUUAAACUAUUCAUCGUUCUAUUUCUCCUUCUCUCAAUACAAAACUCUAAUCUCACCAUCUCACCAUCUCUCCUUCUCCGCGUCUCAUAUCCUCUCCUUUUCUUUUUCUCAAAUCAAUUGAAAAUCCAAAGGAUUCGUACUAUAACCCGAAUUUCACUUCUCUCUACGCUCUCUUCUCCGGAAUCAGCCUCGCCGUUCUUGCCGUAAUGGGCCAGAACCUCGCCUUGAACAUCGCCGAGAAAAGCUUCCCAAUAUCUGUCUAUAACCGAACAACAUCCAUAGUCGACGAAACCCUAGAACGCGCCGCCGUCGAAGGAAACCUCCCGGUCUCCGGCCAAUACUCCCCACGCGACUUCGUCCUCUCACUCCGAGUUCAUUAGCAGAUCUAAAGUUUCCAGAUUGUAAUGUUAUCUGAUAUGUUUUGUCCUAUGUUUUCAGUCUGUUAGAGUUCUUCUGUUUAUUCCGAGUUGUCAUCAGCUUUCAAGGCGUGAGAGGACGAUGGCAGGACAACGAUGGUGUUGACAGAACAAAGAUGAAGAGGGUGUGCAGAGGACGCCUCCAUCUCAGAUAAGUAGCUUGUCUUCUAUUUGAGUUAGAUUUAAAAACCGUUUGAUAAUAUAUAUGUUAUCUUUGUUGUUGUUGAGUUUUGAAAAAUGUUGUUUAUUGUAUUUUGUUGCAGAGGCAAUGUUGACGGUCGAGAACUUGCUUGCAGCUCAAUGUUAUGAUCCUUGAAGACGAGGAAUUGCCAUCACUAUACAGAGCGAUUACUAUAGAGGAGCAGUUGGUGGGAUGCUUGUCAUCAUCCUCAUUGGUGCUUUUAUGAAGGGUCGUGGUGUGGGUGUUUCUGGAGUGGGCAGAACAAUAUUCCCAUUGCUACAGCAUCGAAAGGCAACUUCGAAGGGGCCUGCCAAAAAGUUGGCAACGCUUCAAAAACAAGAUGGAGAUGAUUUCAAGGAGAGUGUUGAAGGAGACUGACUUUAGCUGUUCUGAUGGCAUAGCCCAAAACAAGGCAA
Molecule: long non-coding RNA, 1066 nt
Organism: Brassica oleracea var. oleracea
Lineage: Eukaryota; Viridiplantae; Streptophyta; Magnoliopsida; Brassicales; Brassicaceae
Exons: 4
Source: RefSeq, a predicted model, not a curated record